RNAcentral lists this small nuclear RNA (22 nucleotides) under Arabidopsis thaliana (thale cress). RNAcentral describes it as "snRNA_00795". Lineage: Eukaryota; Viridiplantae; Streptophyta; Magnoliopsida; Brassicales; Brassicaceae. The record is from RNAcentral.
AACGAUCUUUCCAAAAUCUCUU